Molecule: ribosomal RNA, 384 nt
Filed under: Triticum aestivum (bread wheat)
Lineage: Eukaryota; Viridiplantae; Streptophyta; Magnoliopsida; Poales; Poaceae
Description: partial small subunit ribosomal RNA
Source: RNAcentral
AUGGUCUUGGCCUUCGUGAUGGUCUUGGCCUUGGUGGUGGACUUGGCCGUGGUGAUGGACAAGGGCAAGGUCGUUAUAGAGGAAUGUUUGGAUACCUCGAUGGACCAUUUCUGUAUGGCAGCUUCCCAACCCAACAAACCAACAAUGAAGGAGGAUGGCGAAGAUGAGAUGGCGGGAUGGUGGGAGAAGGCUGCGAAGAAGCUGAGAGAGGAGGAUGCAGCCGCACUAAAGAAGAAGAAGGAAGAGGAGCUUGAAGAGAAGAGGAAGGAACAAGUGAGAGCGUCAAAUGCGUGUCACGCUAGGGAGCAAGCGUUGGUGAGGAAAUGUGAGGAGGCACAGAAGAAGCGUCAAAAGGAUUUUGAAGAAAGAACCAUGAAGCUUUGA